RNAcentral lists this unclassified non-coding RNA (438 nucleotides) under uncultured fungus. Its description in RNAcentral is "sequence contains ITS1, 5.8S rRNA gene, ITS2". The stretch from base 62 to 216 matches the Rfam family "5.8S ribosomal RNA". Lineage: Eukaryota; Fungi. The record is from RNAcentral.
UACACACACACACCGUAAUAAAGUCUCAUGGAAUGUAGUCGCGUUUAACGCAAUACAAUACAACUUUCAGCAACGGAUCUCUUGGCUCUCGCAUCGAUGAAGAACGCAGCGAAAUGCGAUAAGUAAUGUGAAUUGCAGAAUUCAGUGAAUCAUCGAAUCUUUGAACGCACCUUGCGCCCUUUGGCUAUUCUGAAGGGCAUGCCUGUUUGAGUAUCAUGAACACCUCAACUCUCAUGGUUUACCAUGAUGAGCUUGGACUUUGGAGGUCUUGCUGGCCAGCGGCCGGCUCCUCUCAAAUGAAUCAGCUUGCCAGUGUUUGGUGGCAUCACGGGUGUGAUAACUAUCUACGCUUGUGGUUUUCUGCCGGGUAACCUUCAGUGAUGGAGGUUCGCUGGAGCUCACAAACGUCUCUCCUCAGCGAGGACAACUUUAUGAAUG